UUUUAAAUUGUCCUUCAACCUCUGAAAUGCUGCCUUAUUUCCUCUGCCCACUAAAUUUGGAAGUCCUAAGUACCUUUCUGGAUUGAUCGAACUACGAACACCGAGCAUCCCAACAAUAGUCGUUUUUACAUCCUCCUGUGUAUUUGUACUGAAGAAGAUUGUAGACUUAUUAUAGUUAACACAUUGACCAGAACUAAUCUCAUAUUCUUUUAAGAUAUUCUUCAAAACAGUAGCUCAUCUUUCUGUGGCUUCUCCAAACAGAAUGCAAUCAUCCGCAAAUAAUAAAUGUGAAAUCAGCG
This 299-nucleotide long non-coding RNA is filed under the name Gossypium raimondii (Peruvian cotton). Its description in RNAcentral is "long non-coding RNA (GRAI_LNC010591)". Lineage: Eukaryota; Viridiplantae; Streptophyta; Magnoliopsida; Malvales; Malvaceae. The record is from RNAcentral.